Long non-coding RNA from Peromyscus leucopus (white-footed mouse), 508 nucleotides. RefSeq lists it as uncharacterized. Lineage: Eukaryota; Metazoa; Chordata; Mammalia; Rodentia; Cricetidae. The transcript is spliced from 2 exons. The record is from RefSeq and is a predicted model, not a curated record.
AAAAUUGGGAAUCCGGGUACACAAAGCCUUUGUCAGCCACCCCUCUUCCUCAGCUGACAAGGUGCUAUGGAUAACAAGUCCACUGCCAGCAUCUGGCUGGACCACAGGAGGGAUGUGCGAGACAGAGCGCAGGGAGGGUGUAAUGGGGAUCUGCGAUGCUGGGAAAAGGCUUUCCUAAAAGCACAGACGCAUGCUCAGUUCCACCUCUUCCCUCCAAGUAAGUUGCCUCCCAUAUAAGGGCAGAAGGAGGCGGACGUCUGGAUAUCCAACCCCACCGGGGGUGUGGCAGAGCAGGCAAAGGAAAACAACAUUUCUUUUUCUUGAAACGAGGCUGCCAGGAGGCACACUCAGGCUCGGGAGAGUCAAAGGCCAGCAGAGAUGCUGGAAGCCAAGAGAUCUCAUUAUACAACAGAACAGCCUUUGAUUCUGUGCUGAGCCAAAGAUAGUCCCAGCCACCAGCAAAAAAGCAAAGGUCUGGAGUCUCAUUAAAAGCACACCUACUGCUUCA